This is a long non-coding RNA of Salvia hispanica, 1742 nucleotides long. RefSeq lists it as uncharacterized. The record is from RefSeq and is a predicted model, not a curated record. NCBI's taxonomy places the organism in Eukaryota, Viridiplantae, Streptophyta, Magnoliopsida, Lamiales, Lamiaceae.
AUAGAUUUCAAUUUAAGAACAGAUGCGCCUCCUUCUCCCCAAAAUUUCACGUCUCUCUCUCUCGUCGAUUUGCCGGCGCUCGGCCAGUAACGGUGCCACCAUUCACGGGUAAGGUUCAGAUUUUCAGGCACCGGCUCGCCGAGUAAGUGGAGAAGAGUGCAGCGAGGUUUGCUCGGGGCAGCGGCUGCCGAUCGUGAGUGACAGCAGCGGCGGCAACCCGAGAGGGCAGCAACUGCACGUGUGUGUGUGUGUGUGUGUGUAUGGCUGCCGUGAGUGGCAGCAGCGGCGCACUCCUCCGGACGAGACAGCAGGGGCGCAGUGGCGACACUGGACAGCUCCGGCAGCGGCAGUGGCUGUGUGUGUGCGCAAGGUGCCGGAGUUUCAGUCCGUACCUCGGGCAAAGGCCCAUCAGGCAGCGCGUUGUUGAAGCGCACAUACCCCUCAAAGCUAAGUCUCAACUUGUUUCUUGCUUGCUUGCUAUGAUUAUCUCAAGUAAUUAGGAUUUACGGUACUUAAGGCUCUACUUGAUUCAUUCUUUCAUUCAAAGGAUAUUGGAGGAGUUAGAAGUUGGUCUUCAUGAUAAAUCUUUUUUUUUUCCUUGGCACACGAGCUUGAUAAAAAAAAACGUUGGCAUCUAUUAUUGUUGCUAAGUUCAAGAGCACCAAAGGCUAAAGCAUAAUCUUGAUUCCUAAUAUAAGCAUGCUUGAAAAGUGUCCAUGAAAGAAGUUAAAUAUGCUACGUGAAAUUUGUUGUUGGGAUUUAAUGAGAAAUGAAUCUUGUAAAGGAAAGAAAAUGGUAGGGCUUGCCAUAAUAUUUGAGCAUUCUAUGAUUCUUGUUCAUGCAUGGUCUAAUGAUAUGAAUAGCUAUGAAUAAAUUUGAUGCUUGAAGAUUUUACCUUGAAGAAAUGAGGAAAAAGUAGGGUGGAGGGACUCGGCUCCUCUUCUUCAAGCACUCAUUUGAAGAUCCUCGCUUUGAAUUAAAUUUGAUGGUGGUUUAUGGUGGAACAAAUGAUUUAAGAGUAUAGAUAGAGUGGUAUUUAUAGAGGAAAUGGUUGCAUAGAAAAAUAUGGGUAAUUCUCUAAUUCAUGGAAGCAAACUAUUACACGAGAGUUAGUGACUUUUGAUGUGAAUCAAAUUGUAGUCCUUUAUUGCAUUAUGUUAACGCACUUUUUAAGAUGAAAAAUGGACUCAUUUUGAUAAAUUGUAGGAAAAAGGAUCAAACUAUAAGAGAGAGCGGAGAAAGAAAACAUGGUCCGAAUCUGAACAGUAAUCAGCCCUUGAAGAUCAAUUUCAAAUGCUUCUACAAGUCCACCAUUGCAUUCACCUUCGAAAGAGCUUCGCGUGGAUACCUCGCACGCCUCAAUCGGAGUCCGGAUGAAGAAGAUACGGUUGUUUUAAGAAAACUGCGCAGUGCAGUGAAAAAACGCCCGGCCGGGCAAAGUUGACUGGGCCUAUUUUUUCAGCCCAAACUAUAUAAAAAGCUAGGGCACGACUUCCUAUGGGACUUUUGGCGGCUGGAACGAUUUUUGAGAGAGAUUUGGAGCUUGGAAGCCAUACUUGAAGAAGAAGAGCAAGAUUGAAGCUUCAUCCACCCAAGCCUUGUCCCCCACGGUAUCUUUAGCUUGUUUCCUUGUUAUUGUGACCACCAUGGGUGGCUAGAGCUUGGGAUUACUCCUAAUUUGUAGUAGGGUUGUUGAACAUGAACUUCUUUAUUUGAAUUUUUAUGAUUUCCUUUGCUUUUUA